RNAcentral lists this ribosomal RNA (937 nucleotides) under uncultured Thermococcales archaeon. RNAcentral describes it as "bacterial SSU rRNA". It matches the Rfam family "Archaeal small subunit ribosomal RNA", at positions 547 to 1478 of the family's 1478-position model. Lineage: Archaea; Methanobacteriati; Methanobacteriota; Thermococci; Thermococcales. The record is from RNAcentral.
AAAUCCCACGGCUCAACCGUGGGGCCCGCUGGGGAUACUGCGGGCCUUGGGACCGGGAGAGGCCGGGGGUACCCCCGGGGUAGGGGUGAAAUCCUAUAAUCCCGGGGGGACCGCCAGUGGCGAAGGCGCCCGGCUGGAACGGGUCCGACGGUGAGGGCCGAAGGCCAGGGGAGCGAACCGGAUUAGAUACCCGGGUAGUCCUGGCUGUAAAGGAUGCGGGCUAGGUGUCGGGCGAGCUUCGAGCUCGCCCGGUGCCGUAGGGAAGCCGUUAAGCCCGCCGCCUGGGGAGUACGGCCGCAAGGCUGAAACUUAAAGGAAUUGGCGGGGGAGCACUACAAGGGGUGGAGCGUGCGGUUCAAUUGGAUUCAACGCCGGGAACCUUACCGGGGGCGACGGCAGGAUGAAGGCCAGGCUGAAGGUCUUGCCGGACGCGCCGAGAGGAGGUGCAUGGCCGCCGUCAGCUCGUACCGUGAGGCGUCCACUUAAGUGUGGUAACGAACGAGACCCGCGCCCCCAGUUGCCAGUCCCUCCCGCUUGGGAGGGAGGCACUCUGGGGGGACUGCCGGCGAUAAGCCGGAGGAAGGGGCGGGCGACGGUAGGUCAGUAUGCCCCGAAACCCCCGGGCUACACGCGCGCUACAAUGGGCGGGACAAUGGGACCCGACCCCGAAAGGGGAAGGGAAUCCCCUAAACCCGCCCUCAGUUCGGAUCGCGGGCUGCAACUCGCCCGCGUGAAGCUGGAAUCCCUAGUACCCGCGCGUCAUCAUCGCGCGGCGAAUACGUCCCUGCUCCUUGCACACACCGCCCGUCACUCCACCCGAGCGGGGCCCGGGUGAGGCCCGAUCUCCUUCGGGAGGUCGGGUCGAGCCCGGGCUCCGUGAGGGGGGAGAAGUCGUAACAAGGUAGCCGUAGGGGAACCUACGGCUCGAUCACCUCCU